UUAUUUACAUUACAAGCUGCGUAAGGAAACUUUUUUGUCGAGGUGGAUUUGACGGGCCGAGGCAACGCCGAGGCCCGGCAAACCUCCGAGACUUAAGAAAGGAGUUACGCAGCGUGUAUUGUAUUACGUUUUUUCUGCUACCGACACCAGUAACACUAAAAAGUAAUAAUUCUAGUAACUAAAAAAUAUUUAAGAAAUUAUCAGGAACUCAUUGAACGUAUUCAUUUCCGUAGCAACAAGAUAAAAAAAUUUGUUUACAAGCAAUAGAAGAAGCUGCCAAUAUUGCUUGCGCAUGUCUGUUACCUGAAAAAUCGAAAUUCCGUUAUAAUGAAACUUACAACGCAUUUUCAAUUUGGUAUACAUCACGAAACAUUCAAGAUGUUAAUGAAACCGUAAUGUUUGGUUAUUUUAAGGAAAGAUCCGAAGCCCGCAAGUCUCCUAGCAGUUUAUGGUGUGAAUAUUCAAUGCUGAAAUUAACGUCGUGUCAGUUCUUCUGUUUGUUACCUCAAUUAUAUAAGAAAAUGUUGGAAGCUCAUGCAGUUGAUGAAAAUGUGACAGUUACUAAUUUUGAAAUAACUUCAAAUAAUAAUCCUUUAAUAAAUAUUACUGAGUGUAGUGUUACAGUUAAUAUUAAUAAAUAAUUAUAAAAGAAA
This is a long non-coding RNA of Zophobas morio, 653 nucleotides long. RefSeq lists it as uncharacterized. Lineage: Eukaryota; Metazoa; Arthropoda; Insecta; Coleoptera; Tenebrionidae. The record is from RefSeq and is a predicted model, not a curated record. The transcript is spliced from 2 exons.